This 229-nucleotide non-coding RNA is filed under the name Clostridium sp. Its description in RNAcentral is "T-box sequence". It matches the Rfam family "T-box leader". Rfam says of the family: Uncharged tRNA acts as the effector for transcription antitermination of genes in the T-box leader family. T-boxes are found upstream of many aminoacyl-tRNA synthetase genes and some amino acid biosynthetic genes usually in Gram-positive bacteria. The record is from RNAcentral. Lineage: Bacteria; Bacillati; Bacillota; Clostridia; Eubacteriales; Clostridiaceae.
AAAAACGCAAGGAACAGGAUCAGUAGUAUCGGGAAAACUUCUUUUCAGAGAGCGUGUGUCACAGGCUGAAAGCCACGCAGAAGACCGGGUAUGAAAUUUCACCUGGGAGCGGUCUUUCUGAAUCAAAGUAGGAAAGAACGGAGGGCACCGUUAUAUGCAGAAUGAAGAUGCCGGAGCAUAGUCCGGAAUGUGGGUGGUACCGCGGAAAGUAAUGCUUUUCGUCCCUGUG